ACAGAGCGCGGAGCGGGAAGGGAGGGCUGGAGCGCAGACGGCCGACGCGCGGGGGCUGCCAUGGGCGCGCACUGACCCGCUGCUCAGCGCGAACUUCCUUGGCGGCGCGGAGCUCCCCGGCUGGCGGUGCGUCUCCUCCGUCACCAUGAAAGACGACUUCGCAGAGGAGGAGGAGGUGCAUUCCUUCGGUUACAAGCGGUUUGGGGUCAAAUUGGAGCUGCAGUUGCUGGCCUACAUCACAGCCACAGCAACACCAGAUCCAAGCCACAUCCACUACCUACACCACAGCUCUUGGCCGGGCCAGGGAUCGAACCCUCAUCCUCAUGGAUACUAGUCGGGUUUGUAACCUGCUGAGCCACAACGGGAACUCCCUGAAAUAACCUUUCUAACAUGUCCUUCUUGUUCUGUGUAGCAGGAAAAGGUGUAUAAGUCAGAUCAUUGCUGACAUUUUAGAUUUCGAAUCUUCAAUCUAAGCUCAAACAUUCAAAGCAGUAUAAGUGAGAACCAUAUUCUCUCCCUUUGGGUUUUUUUUUUUUUUAAAUUUCUAAGAGGAAGUCCUCAUGACAGCUUAUAUAAUACUUGUUUGGGGGAAUUCCUGUUGUGGUUCAGGGGAAGCAAUCUGAUUAGCAUCACGAGGACUCAGGUUCAAUCCCUGGCCUUGCUCAGUGGGUUAAGGAUCUGCUGUGGCCGUGAGCUGUGGUGUAGGUCGCAGACAUGGCUUGGAUCUAGCAUUGCUGUGGCUGUGGGGCAGACCUGCAGCUACAGCUCCAAUCUGACCCCUAGCCUAGGAACCUCCAUUUGCCGUGGCCCUAAAAAGACCACAUAUGCUGUGGCCCUAAAAAAAACAACAACAGGAUACUUGUUUGGUUUCAUUUAAUGAAGAAUGUCCAGAUGCAUUUGUUGCUCUACCUCAGGUUUUACAUAGAAGGCCUACUAUUGAGUUCCUUUGGGAAAUCAUCCAGAGGAAAUAGGAGUGCUUUUCACUCUGGUAAGCAUUCACUGACUGCCCUCUGUGUGCCGUGAACUGGGGUACAAAGAUGAAUAAACAUGGUCUCUGCCCUUGGCUAUUUUAUUCAUUUAUCAUCAACAUUUCUCAUUCAUUUUAAAAACAUUUCGCAGAAAACAAAAUGUGUAAAGGCUCUUAUGAAGACACAAUUUUUCUCGUAAAAAUGUUUAUACUAGGAAUAGCCCAGUUGAUAAGCCUCAUCAAAGGCUUCACCCAAAGAGUCAUAAAGUAGAUAAAGAAACAGGGCUGCCUUUUUGUGAUGGAUGUGAUAUGAAAUAGGGUGUCAGAAAUUUGCGUAUAAAUUCUGCAGGUGGGCUUGGAAAGAGAGAGUGAAACAGAUGGGGAACAGAAAGGAAGCCCAUUAGCCCAGGGAAAGAUGAGUGAGGCAUUGGUGGAAAUUUGGGGAAGAGAUUUAAGCAAGGAACACAAGCCUUAAAAAUGCCCUUUUUCUGUGACAUAUAUGCACUUUGUGAGAUUUGCUGAGAAAUUGAAGCAAGCAAGACUCCUGGGAAAAUGUCAUUCUUAGUCAAUGCAGUACGAAAGUGAUGUGACAUUUAUUAACUAUCCAUUAUAUGUUGGUACCAUGCACAGUAAAGAAGGGAGACAUGGCCUUUUGCCUUUGGGAAUUUCCAAUGUAAUGAAAAGCAGACAGAGUUUUCCAACAGGGGUAUAUUUGCAUGAAAGGAAAACAUCAGCCAACCCUACAAAUUGCUUCCCCUCCCACCCGCAGAAUUUCAGAAGGCACAAUAGAGGGCACCCCGUGCCAGAUGGAAUGCGAGCCGAGCCGCCUCUUCUCUCUGUUGUUCUAAGUUCAGUGUCAGCAAGACUUCAGUGGUUUCCGGAUGAGGUGGGGGGGUUGCCUUUGCACCCGCCUUGCAUCUGCACAUGAAGAGGGAAUGUGUGUGACGUCCCCAACCUUUGCCCAACAGGAAAGGUUCAGGACGAAGCAUGAGAACCUGUUUGAUGGAAGCCCAAGAGAAAAGGUUGGAUGGUAAUUUCCAUCUCCAUAUGGUGGCGUGCCAUCAGCCCAGCUGUCAGCAAAUUGCUGCCAGCUGAACCCACCCUGCUUAUUAAUGGCAGUUACGGUGCUUUAAAACACAGUUCAGAAAGUGUGUAAUAAAAUGAUCUGGGGAGUUCCUGUUGUGGCUCAGCAAGUUAAGGACCUGGUGUUGUCUCUGUGAGGAUGCAGGUUUGAUUCCUGGCCUAAGUGAGUUAAAGAUCUGCGGUACAUAGGCUGUGGCGUAGGCUGGCAGCUGUGGCUCUGAUUCAGCCCCUAGCCCGGGAACUUCCAUAUGCUGCAGGUGUGGCCGUAAAAAGAAAAAAACAUUAAAAAAAAAAUAAUAAUUUGGUUCAGAAGCCUUCACUUUUAAUGGACCAAAAUGUACCUCCUAUAAACGGUAAAUAAGGACCUCAGAGGGCCUGAGUGACCUUAAAUAUGUAAAUUACCAUCUCUAAGCCUUCUUUUUUACUUGUUAUGGAAAGAGGGAUAAGACUGCCCAUUGAGAGGGGUGCUGCAAAGAUUAAUUAAUGUAAGUGAAGUGCUGAGCACAGUGCCUGACGCUUAGAGGCUAUUCCAUAAUUGCACAUCCGAGGAAGAGAACUCGAUUUUUUUAAAAAAAAUUUCAGUUAAUUAAAUUAAAUUAAUUAAUUUAUUUAUGGGCACCCCAUGGCGUGUGGAAGUUCCUGGGCCAGGGAUCUAACCUGUACCAUAGCAAUGACCCAAGCCACUGCAGUGACAAUGCAGGAUCCUUAAUCUGCUGAGCCACAAGGAAACUCCUCAGUUUUUUUUAAUUGAACCAUUUUUCUCUCUGUCAUUGCAUGCACACACACACACAAUACACACAUGUAGGGGUGUGUGUGUGCACUUGUGUGGGCAUCACUGGAUAUUUGAAGAGUUCUGAAUUGAUAGCAUGGAGAUUAGAAUAUCAGUCUUUUUCUGCAUGUUAACUAAAUCUGUGAAUUUUGCAAAAUGAUGUAAGCUCUCUGGGUCUCAGAUAAGCUCUUCUUUGAGGAAUGAAAAAGGGGGUUGGAAUAGAUGAUUUCAAAAACUUUUUUUUUUUUUAAAUAGCCUCACCUGCCGCACAUGGACAUUCCAGGCCAGGUAUUGAAUCCAAGCCAAGCUGCUGCUACAGCAACUCGGAUCCUUUAACCCACUGCGCCAGGCCAGGAAUCACACCCACAUCUCUGUGGCAACCCAAAGUGCUUCAGUCUGAUUCUUAACCCACUGAGCCACAGUGGGAACUCCUCAAAGACUUCUUUAGGCCAUGCUGUGUCAUGGGUUUGUAUCUCUAAUGUAAUCCAAGGCUCUAUUUUGCCACUACAUGCAAUUUUUAAAAAUAUAUGUUAAUUUUCACCCUUUCUUUUACCUCAGAAUAGGUAUUUUGAUACCCUCAUUUCAGAUAUAUUUUCCCAGGUAUCUGAUACAAAAUUGAGCAAAAAUUGGCCGAGGGAAAACUUUCUUCUGUUCUCAUUAGUUUUGUUCAAAAUAUCAGUGACCUCAUGAUGUUUGGUUUUCCAUUUGGUUGUGUUCCUAUCAUGUAACGUUAGAGAUAUUGAAGCAUUCUGUAGGCUUAAAUGUUUUGAAAUCACUUUAUUCUAGAUUUCUACGCUCAAAAAUGGAAGAUUGUCUUCCUUCCAAGCUUCCGAAAAUCAGUAAUUACUCAAAUACACGUGUCUGCAAAUUUAAUAAGAAGCAUAAUGGUUCCAUUAAUAAUCCCCCCAAAAUUUGUCCAUUUCCUCUCAAUUCAGUGAUCUGUUUAUCAUAUUAUGAAAUUUUUCUUUGUACGUCUCAUGUUAAUUAAAGACAUCCUGAAUGAAAAGAUAAAUCUUCUACUUAUGAAUAAAGGGGAAAAAAAUCACUUUAGCUAUGCCUCUUGUUGAGAAAAAGGCCCACUGGGAACUCUGACUUUCACACCUUCUUGGGUUAGUGACCAAAUAUUUGAAUC
RNAcentral lists this long non-coding RNA (3951 nucleotides) under Sus scrofa (pig). RNAcentral's name for it is "lncRNA (ENSSSCG00060064967.1)". The record is from RNAcentral. Lineage: Eukaryota; Metazoa; Chordata; Mammalia; Artiodactyla; Suidae.